RNAcentral lists this ribosomal RNA (492 nucleotides) under uncultured bacterium. Its description in RNAcentral is "partial 16S ribosomal RNA". It matches the Rfam family "Bacterial small subunit ribosomal RNA", at positions 29 to 507 of the family's 1533-position model. The record is from RNAcentral.
AGUGAACGCUGGCGGUAUGCCUAACACAUGCAAGUCGAACGGCAGCACAGUAAGAGCUUGCUCUUACGGGUGGCGAGUGGCGGACGAGUGAGGAAUACAUCGGAAUCUACUUUUUCGUGGGGGGUAACGUAGGGAAACUUACGCUAAUACCGCAUAAUACCUACGGGUGAAAGCAGGGGAUCUUCGGACCUUGCGCGAUUGAAUGAGCCGAUGUCGGAUUAGCUAGUUGGCGGGGUAAAGGCCCACCAAGGCGACGAUCCGUAGCUGGUCUGAGAGGAUGAUCAGCCACACUGGAACUGAGACACGGUCCAGACUCCUACGGGAGGCAGCAGUGGGGAAUAUUGGACAAUGGGCGCAAGCCUGAUCCAGCCAUACCGCGUGGGUGAAGAAGGCCUUCGGGUUGUAAAGCCCUUUUGUUGGGAAAGAAAAGCAGCAGGUUAAUACCCCGCUGUUCUGACGGUACCCAAAGAAUAAGCACCGGCUAACUUCGUG